RNAcentral lists this transfer RNA (76 nucleotides) under Roseovarius sp. RNAcentral's name for it is "tRNA-Val". It matches the Rfam family "tRNA". From Rfam's summary of the family: Transfer RNA (tRNA) molecules are approximately 80 nucleotides in length. The record is from RNAcentral. Lineage: Bacteria; Pseudomonadati; Pseudomonadota; Alphaproteobacteria; Rhodobacterales; Roseobacteraceae.
GGGUCGUUAGCUCAGUUGGUAGAGCGCUUCGUUUACACCGAAGAUGUCGGGAGUUCGAAUCUCUCACGACCCACCA